UUGCAGUGGUGCAUUUUAUUAAUCAACACAUCAUUCUGAAAUCGGAUGUGUAGAAAAGUAAUGACUAAGCACA
Arvicola amphibius (Eurasian water vole) is the source of this 73-nucleotide small nucleolar RNA. RefSeq annotates it as small nucleolar RNA SNORD63. The record is from RefSeq and is a predicted model, not a curated record. NCBI's taxonomy places the organism in Eukaryota, Metazoa, Chordata, Mammalia, Rodentia, Cricetidae. The transcript has a single exon.